This 494-nucleotide ribosomal RNA is filed under the name uncultured bacterium. RNAcentral's name for it is "partial 16S ribosomal RNA". It matches the Rfam family "Bacterial small subunit ribosomal RNA", at positions 28 to 507 of the family's 1533-position model. The record is from RNAcentral.
GACGAACGCUGGCGGCGUGCUUAACACAUGCAAGUCGAACGGUGAAGCGCCUUCCUUUUUGGUGGGUGUGGAUGAGUGGCGAACGGGUGAGUAACACGUGAGUAACCUGCCACCUUCUUCUGGAUAACCGCAUGAAAGUGUGGCUAAUACGGGAUAUUCUGGGUCUGUCGCAUGAUGGGUCUGGGAAAGAUCUUGUUUCGGUGGGGGAUGGGCUCGCGGCCUGUCGGCUUGUUGGUGGGGUGAUGGCCUACCGAGGCGGUGACGGGUAGCCGGCGUGAGCGGGUGGACGGUCACACUGGGACUGGGACACGGCCCAGACUCCUAGGGGCGGCCGCAGUGGGUAAGAGUGGACGAUGGGCGCAAGCCUGAUGCAGCGACGCCGCGUGAGUGAUGGAGGCCUUCGUGUUGGGAACCUCUUUCGCGAGUGAAGCAUGCCUUCCUCGGUUGUGAGUGAGUUGACGGUAGCUGGAUAAGAAGCGCCGGCUAACUACGUG